GCUCUUGAUCGUCAAGUCGGCGCCUUGGAAGCCUUGCAUGGCUCCUGCCAGGAUCUGGAAACCAUCAUGACCGCGUGCGAUACCGGC
Molecule: transfer RNA, 87 nt
Filed under: Pararhodospirillum photometricum DSM 122
Lineage: Bacteria; Pseudomonadati; Pseudomonadota; Alphaproteobacteria; Rhodospirillales; Rhodospirillaceae
Description: tRNA-Leu
Source: RNAcentral